CCUACGGGCGGCAGCAGUAGGGAAUAUUGCUCAAUGGGGGAAACCCUGAAGCAGCAACGCCGCGUGGAGGAUGAAGGUUUUCGGAUUGUAAACUCCUUUUGUUAGAGAAGAUAAUGACGGUAUCUAACGAAUAAGCACCGGCUAACUCCGUGCCAGCAGCCGCGGUAAUACGGAGGGUGCAAGCGUUACUCGGAAUCACUGGGCGUAAAGAGCGCGUAGGCGGGAUAGCAAGUCAGAUGUGAAAUCCUAGGGCUUAACCAUAGAACUGCAUUUGAAACUGUUAUUCUAGAGUAUGGGAGAGGUAGGUGGAAUUCUUGGUGUAGUGGUAAAAUCCGUAGAGAUCAAGAGGAAUACUCAUUGCGAAGGCGACCUGCUAGAACAUAACUGACGCUGAUGCGCGAAAGCGUGGGGAGCAAACAGGAUUAGAUACCCUUGUAGUC
RNAcentral lists this ribosomal RNA (440 nucleotides) under uncultured bacterium. RNAcentral describes it as "partial 16S ribosomal RNA". It matches the Rfam family "Bacterial small subunit ribosomal RNA", at positions 338 to 795 of the family's 1533-position model. The record is from RNAcentral.